AGCCCUAUAGUCAAAAAUGAUAUUAAAUUGCAAAUUUAAAGGAAACGGAUAGUUUAAGGCUU
This 62-nucleotide transfer RNA is filed under the name Cerambycidae sp. 9 KM-2017. Its description in RNAcentral is "tRNA-Cys". The record is from RNAcentral. Lineage: Eukaryota; Metazoa; Arthropoda; Insecta; Coleoptera; Cerambycidae.